CGCUGAACAAAUGACGAUCGCAAUUCGACCGUUACGGAUUUACGCGUGAGACUAAACUUGUGAAUGUUUUCGGUAAUUCCGUAGGUAGAGAAAUCAUGUGUUAAGCUUGCUACUCACUUUUGAACGUUCCAUUUUCAUGUUGCCGCGAUUAUUUCGGGUAUCAGAGGUGAUAUACGAUCGUUAAACGACAUACGCAGAUAUAUAUACUUGUGUAGGUUCUCUAGUGCUGAUCGGACUCUAGGGCUCCAUAAGGCCAAAAGUCAUCGCCGGCGAAACUUGUGUCUUCAGGUCGAUUAGGAGAGCUGAUUCGACUGAUCCUACAUUCUGGAAGCAUCGAAUGAUCGAAAUAAAUUGCCGCAAGAUUGAGCCAGGUUAGUGAAUACGUGAGUAGAGUGAAUCAAACACCAAAUAUUGAAGAACAGAAUACAGAAGGUGAACGGGUUAUCAUGUUAUGGACGAAAAGAAUCAGAGAUACAUGUCAUUGCAGUAGUAUUACCCACGUUUAGCAUUAAUCAUAAUGAAUUUGGACAAAUGCUACAAGGACUGCUAUGUACAACGUGUAGAGUAAUCCAAAGGAGUGUAUAGAGUGCGUCAUCUCAUUAUUCAUACUGCAGAGAUAUUACGAGAUCUACUACAUUUAAAGUGUGGAGCAACCCAGAGAAUAGUUAAUUAAGCAGAGACAUCCGAAUAACAUCUCCAUUAUUCGGCGACGUUGGAGGCUGAUCACUUUCACUC
Neodiprion fabricii is the source of this 735-nucleotide long non-coding RNA. RefSeq lists it as uncharacterized. The transcript is spliced from 7 exons. Lineage: Eukaryota; Metazoa; Arthropoda; Insecta; Hymenoptera; Diprionidae. The record is from RefSeq and is a predicted model, not a curated record.